UUUCCUUUAUUAAGUAUUAAAGGUAAUACCUGCUCGAUGAUUACAUUAAAUUGCCGCAGUAUUAUGACUGUGCUAAGGUAGCAUAAUAAUUUGUCUUUUAAAUGGGGACUGGAAUGAAAGGUUUUAUGGGAAUAAGUUGAUGAUUUAAUCAAUGAUUGAAUUUAAGUUUUAAGUUAAAAUUCUUAAAUGUUUCUGAGGGACGAGAAGACCCUGUGGAUUUUUAUUUUGUUUUAGUUAAAUGUUAAUAAUAGGUUUAACUUUUAAAAGAUUUGAUUGGGACGAUUAUUAUUUUAACAUGAUUUAUAGGUAUUUAUUAUGAUCCUACAUAAGGAAUAAAGAUUAAGUUACCCCAGGGAUAACAGCGUAAUAUUAUUGGAUAGAUCAUAUUGAUAAUAAUGUUUGCGACCUCGAUGUUGAAUUAAAAUUCUUUCUAAAGUAGAAGUUAGUAAAGUAAGUCUGUUCGACUUUUAAAAUUUU
This 477-nucleotide ribosomal RNA is filed under the name Eucypris crassa. RNAcentral's name for it is "partial 16S ribosomal RNA". It matches the Rfam family "Bacterial large subunit ribosomal RNA", at positions 1830 to 2597 of the family's 2925-position model. Lineage: Eukaryota; Metazoa; Arthropoda; Ostracoda; Podocopida; Cyprididae. The record is from RNAcentral.